This 560-nucleotide small RNA is filed under the name Pongo abelii (Sumatran orangutan). RNAcentral's name for it is "retained intron". Lineage: Eukaryota; Metazoa; Chordata; Mammalia; Primates; Hominidae. The record is from RNAcentral.
AUAACUUCCUGCAGCGACCAACAGGCUAAAGAGGGGGAAGUUCUGGAGGGAUCCAGCACCGGCUCCUCCUCCGGCAACCACGGUGGGAGCGGCGGAGGAAAUGGACAUAAACCCGGGUGUGAAAAGCCAGGGAAUGAAGCCCGCGGGACCGGCGAAUCUGGGAUUCAGGUGAGAGCCAAAGUCUCUUCAGUCUCCUGGGGACUGCAGUUCCUGCCCAGGACUGUGCCCGCUCCUCCUAACUCAGCUCUGCUCAACCCCCUCCUGCCUUGUCUGCGGGGAACUGACUAUUUCGGCAGAAGAAACCAAAUGCACUCCUAAAAAUGCUAACAAUUUCCAAAGUACUAAUUAAUUGCAAAUCUUGCUGUGUUAUACCUCACCUUAUACCACAGAUGGGGCUGGGAGAAAUUCCACGUAAACCGGUCCUUUUAGAAGCACAAUUGUCUUAAAUGUCCUCUAUCCAGCCGGGGAACAGACUGUGGUGAACUCUGGGGGAUUCAGAGUGCUUUGGAAAAACAUUCCCCCCAGUUAUGCUGGAAAUGUGGGCUUUAUGUCAGCACCUG